Molecule: ribosomal RNA, 1027 nt
Filed under: Portia taiwanica
Lineage: Eukaryota; Metazoa; Arthropoda; Arachnida; Araneae; Salticidae
Description: eukaryotic LSU rRNA
Rfam family: Eukaryotic large subunit ribosomal RNA
Source: RNAcentral
GGGAUGAGCCCAGCGMCGAAUCCCCGGCCCCYGGUCGUGGGAAAUGUGGCGUUUGGGAGUGAGCGUGCCGGGUUCGCGCUGUCGACGGCAAGUCCCCCUGACUGGGGCCUAUCCAGAGCGGGUGCGAGGCCCAUAGCCGUCCGGCGCGUCCCGGAAUGCGAUCUCCUUGGAGUCGGGUUGCUUGGGAGUGCAGCCCUAAUCGGGUGGUAAACUCCACCUAAGGCUAAAUACCGCCGUGAGACCGAUAGCAAACAAGUACCGUGAGGGAAAGUUGCAAAGAACUUUGAAGAGAGAGUUCAAGAGUACGUGAAACUGCUCAGAGGUAAACGGGUGGGCCCUCGAAAUCCUGUGGCGAGAGGAUUCAGUCUGGCGUCUCGUGCGUGCUUGACCGGAAGACAAUCAUGGCCUCCCGGGAUCGGGUGCCGUCCGGUCGCACGGUCGCGUCCCGUCAGACGCAUUUGACUCUCGCCCGAAGGACGCUGCAGCCGGUGGGGCAGUUGCAAACGUGACGGCCUGAAAGUCGGGAGAUGGCAGUUGACCGGUGGCGCGCACUCAGCGCGCCUGCCGGUUGUUAGCCGUCCCGUCCGUGGCCCGUCGCCCCACCGUGGUGUCACUACGCCCUAACGGGCCGUUCUCCGUCCCCUCCUUAAAGUGACGCGAGUAGAUCUCCGCUGGGUAGGGCAGCCGACACGUCGCACUCAUUGCGUGUGGACGGUCGAGCGAGCCCACCCCGCAGGCGGACGGCGGUGCUCGUGGAGGGCCGGAGGUUCGCAGCGAGUAGGUCGGUCACCCACCCGACCCGUCUUGAAACACGGACCAAGGAGUCUAACAUGUGCGCGAGUCAAUGGGUCUUGAACAGGCCCAGAGGCGCAAUGAAAGCAAAGGCCGGCCGUCGUGGCGGCCGAGUUGGGAUCCCCGCUCUCGGGCGGGGCGCACCAACGACCCGUCCCGUCCGGCUCGCCGGUGGGGCGGAGUGUGAGCGCACACGUUGGGACCCGAAAGAUGGUGAACUAUGCCCGGACAGGAC